Long non-coding RNA from Taeniopygia guttata (zebra finch), 7659 nucleotides. RefSeq lists it as uncharacterized. The record is from RefSeq and is a predicted model, not a curated record. NCBI's taxonomy places the organism in Eukaryota, Metazoa, Chordata, Aves, Passeriformes, Estrildidae.
GAUCAGCUCCCGGAUUCCUGUGGGAUCAGCUCCAGGGGCCCUGUGGGAUCUGUGGGAUCAGCUCCCAGGUCCCUGAGGGCUCUGUGGGAUCUGUGGGAUCAGCUCCCAGGUUCCUGUGGGAUCAGCUCCAGGGGCCCUGGGGCUGGCAGCAGCUUCCAUCAGCCUGUCCCUGGCACAGCAGGACACUCGAGGUGUGUGCUGCCAUUUUAAUGUGGUUUUAUCCGAGCAGCCAUAUCCUUCCCUUCACGGUUUUUAUUUUCUGAACUUCAUGAAACUCCACAAACCUCGGUUUUCACACCCUCAGACAGUUUUCUGCCACUUUUGUUGGUGGAAACAUUGAAAACUGGACCUGCCAUUUUUAUUUUUAUUUUUUUCCUUAAACCCUCUGUGCUUCUGUCUGUUGCUCACAUUCUCUUCGGGCUGACAAGCUUUGCAUCUUUCUUGUUUUUUGGGGUUUUAUUUUUUUUGUCACAGAACUCCCCAUUUUGUAACCAGCCUCUCGAAGGUAACAUAAGGCAGCUAAUUAAUGAGUUGGGAUUUCUGGUGGCAGCAGAUUUUGAAUCCUGUUUGGGAUUUUGGAGAGUUCCUACACUAAAUAUGAUCAGGAAGGAGCCUGAUUCAGGUGGGGAAUGGAAUAUUCCUCCAGCAGCUGAGUGAUUGUCCUGUGUGAUUCCCUGGAUUUUAUUGAGGCUGGUAAAUUCCUUUACCUUAUAAAAAUUGAAGUUCUCUAACGUUCUUGACUCUCAUGGAACUACUGUUGCAGUUACAAUAAAGAUGAUGUUGUUUCAUUGUAAAUCUAUUUUUAUUUUUUUACAAUGGUUUGAUAUUUUUAAUUUUUUUUUUUUCCAGAGCAGGAUCAGGCUGCAGGGAGAUCUCAGUCUUGAAAAAGAAAAUGUAAUCCCCUCUCCUCUCCCACAGCUCUUCCCACCUGCUGGAUUGCAGGGAGAGCAGAAAUUCCCUCAACUUCUUGGGUAAUUCUGGGAAAAUAAAUGGCUGCAUUUUAAAAAUAAAAACCAUUUGGGGGUAGCAAACACUUGUGCAAUUCUCUGGUUCCCAGAGCUGUUGCCCUGCAGUCCAAAAUGUUUCAAUGGGUUCUUAAGGUUUUCCUUUAAUUCAGGUGUACAAGAAUUCCAGGGGCUCUGGUUCUUCACCUGCCACACCUGAUGUUUUCUGAAGUGUAUUUUGUGCGUCUCACCUCAAAUAUAUUUUUGGUUGUUUCAUUUUUUUUUUAUUUUUUAAGAGAAGUUGAGGCAGUGAAACAUCAUUUUUCUGUUAUUUCAGGCAGUUUUUGGAUUGUUUUACCCUGGAGCUUUGGCCUUUUGUUCCACAGAACUGUUCUGCAUUCUCACGUGUUCAUUUCUGGUGGGUUGGAGGCUGCCUGAUGCUCCUUUCUGAGUGUCCCAAACACCAUGAAAAUCCCAGAUUUUCAGGAUUUUGUAACUUUUUCUAACCCUGUUUUGCUGAUUGGUACAAACACUGAACCCUAAUGGUCUCUGUUAGAAAUACAGCAAUUUCACAUUUUUACAGAUGGGAGAAAAUUGUCAAGGUGAAUAUUUCUAUGAUUUUGAAUAUUUUUAUUUUCACAUACAUUGUUUUUCAGUAGCAGCAGACUUCAUCUUUUUAAAUGCCCAUUGGAAUUAAUUUGUAUUAAAAGAUUCUGGAAGGAAAGCUGGGAAAAUGCCUUUCUUUAGGAGCACCAAGGGAUUUUUAUGGAGCAGAAAGUUUCAUUCACAGGAGGAGGCUUUAAAAAGAUUCUCUCCCACAGCUGUAGUCCUGGAGCCUUUGCAGAGAGGUAAAAUGGAUUUAUUCCAAAAUUCAGUCAGGCUCCGGCUCUGCCCUAGCCUUGCUUUUAAAAUUUCAGAACUUCCAUAAAUCCACACCAGCACCUCCACCUCUGGUUCCUGCCAACAUCCUGCCUUGAACUUUUUAAAAUCAGUCAAAAUCUGCAAUUUCAGCUUGGAUUUUGUGCUAAAAAUGGUUUGGUUCAGUUCCAGGGGGGUCAGCAGAAGAAUGACAACUGUGCUGAGUUAAGGGGGUCAGGAGUGGCUUAAAAAUGGGGCAGCUGAAGAGUUUUUGAUCAGUUUUAAUUUCCUCAAGGCAGAGAGUGAGGGGAGAGAAGCAGCACCACCAGGGCAGCGCAAAAAUCUGAAAUUCCUGGGUUUUGUUGUUUUUUUUUCCUUUUUUAUCCUUUUUUUCCCUUUUUUUUUUGAAUAUUCCCUCUACUGAUAGCCACAAAGGUACAAGAGCCACUGAGGCAGCCAGGUGAGAGAGGGAGGGAAGGAAUCUGUACCAUGCUGGAAGCUUUUGGAGCUGUAGGAAAAAAAAAAAAACAAAAACAAAAAAAACAAACCUGGUGCUUUGCUUUUCUGUCCUGUUCGUGAAGUGUUUAUUUUUCUAACAGAUCCUAACGUUGAACACACGGUUCCUAAAAGCUACAAAGUGAUCCAGGAGUUUUGGUGUUUGAUGGGGAAUUCAUUCAUCUGUUGAGGGGGCAGGAGUUGGAGCAGUUUUGGAGGGACGCUGGCACGGAGUGGUCGGUGGCGUUUAGGAUGGGUGAUUUUGGGGAAGCUGCUGCCACAGUUUUCUGUGGAAAUGAGAAAUUCUGUGUGUAUCUGACCCAACAGAGCAUUUCCCCUCAGCUUGGAGUGUUUCCCUGCAGUUUUAGGAGGCUUCAGUCCCAGUGCUGAUGGAACAGAAGCGACACUUUAACACUUUGUUCUGCUUGUCCAGGAGGAUUUUUGGGCUUUUUUGAGCCCAUCAGAGCAGGGAGAGCCGACAGUGUCCUUCAGAGACCUCCCCAAGCCCAGCCUAGCUCUGAAUCAAAUCCGAACCUUCCCACUUGAGUAGCUGAAUGUCUUUUCAUGGAACUCUUGCUGUCAAACCAUGAAUAUUUGUGGGGUGCAGCCCGGCCUUGCCCGGUGCUGCUCCCCAGCGCCAGCCCCGACCGUGCCCAGCAUGCUCAGUGUGACUGCAAAGCACCCGUGUGCAAACGCUCUGUACAGUGGGGCCAGGGUUUUUUAUAUAUAUAUUUUGGGAUGGGGGGGGGGGGAGGAGGGUGGGUGUGGAGAUCCUGAAAUCAGCUUAAGCCAGACUUAAAUGUGUGUAAAAAAACCCCAAAAUCUUCGGUGUGUGAGUGCGCGAGCGGGAGUGUCUGACAUCCCAUUCCCUUUGUGUUCUCAGCAUUUGUGAGGUUUUAUUUCUUUUUUCUUAUUUCCCCCCCCCCCCCCUUCCUGCAGAAGCAAUUGUUACAAAGAAAAAUAAUUGUAAAUAAGAGCUACGUAAUUUUUUUUGUUGUUGUUUGCCAUCAUGUCACAGCAAACCCUGAGUGAGCAGUGUGAAGGUGGAGGAGGAGACUGGCAGCAUUUUCUGGUAUGCAAUGAAUAUUUUGUCUCGAGUAUCUGCAAUUCCCCUGGUGAGCUUUUGGAAGAAAAAAAAAACAAGUGAAAAAAAAAUUCAGGCUCUUUGCAGUUCCCCUCCUUGUCCUUUUUAAUUUUUAUUAUUAUUUUUUGUUUAAUUUCAAAAGCAGGAAGAAGGGGCAGCUGCAAACAGUCAUCGCUGUGGGGUUAGGAGCUCUUGACAACCCUGAGAUCUAGCAUGGUACUAGGAGUUAAGUCUGAAUGUAACAUUAAUGCUUUAUUUAAAAUUAAAAACAAAAACACUUUGGUUUUGGUUUUUUUUUUUUAAGGGGUUGAAGUGAACAUGACUGUUGACCAUGUUCGUGAAUUUCUAGAUGCAAACAUUCAUUGGUAGAAUUGUGUGAUGGUCUUUUGUGCUAAUUAAUUUGACAUAUUCCAAGUCUCUGUAUGUACCUGCAAAGAAAGAAAAACAAAAAAAAUAACAAAAACCCUGCUUUGCUUUGAUUGAAAAAGGGUUCCUGGGACUGCAUACCUGCUCCUGAGCUCUGUUUUAAGUAUGUGUAUCCUUCGCUUGUAUUUUGUAUUAAAAAAAAGAACCACGAGGAAAAAAAUGAACCCUUUAUUGUUCAGCAUGUUGGAAUUGUGUCCCCUCUUUUAUUUUUCUCCUUUUUGGAAUAUAUUAAGCAACUCAUUCUUCUGUAUCUUUUAUUUUCUUUUGUAAACUUUUUGGUUUUGUUUAAAAAUGGCUUUAUAAAAGGGCUUUUAUAACCCAUGAACACGACUGGUGUCAUUUUUCUGCUGCUCCAAGGGGAUCAUCCUGUGAGAGGUAAAAAGUGUUCAUCUUCCAGCAUCUCUGAGAGUUUUGGGGUGAAUUCCUUGGAAUUCUCUGAGGAGGUGAUGCCAGCUUUGGGCCAGGUAUGACUUUCCCAUCAUUGCUUGAGAACUGACCGGGAAGAAUGAAAUAAUCCAGAAAAUUGUGCUUUGCCCAGGCUCUUCCUGGAGUUCUAAAUUGAGAUUUUAAGGUCCAAAACCAAUUUGAGGGAGAGAUGAGAGGAGGGACAAAACCCUUGGAAUGUCAUCUUCCCCUCCAGGAGCUUCCCCUGGUGUGUCCCAGCAGAUGGGAAACUUUUUAUGGAAAAAUUCAUCAGGAAUUUGGGAUCAAUCAAUUUUGCCUGUUGUCAUGGCAAGCACAGGCAGGGCUCGGCCCGGCCCCAGGUGCUCUCUCCACCUCUGGAGGUCACGCAGGGAAUUUCUCCUUUUACCAAAUCCUUUGGGGCAGAUUCCAUCGCCUUUCCUGCAGCUCCGGGGCGGAUUUUUCCCGAUUUUGGCUCAUUUUGAUGCGCGGCUGUGCCCGCGAUGUGCCAGCAGAGGGUGCUGGGAGGGCGAGGUUGAACCCUGGAAUGGAUGAAAUACUCUGGAAUGUGCUGGAAUUUCGGGUACAGGGAAGAUUUCUUCGUUUGUUUUGAGGGGUUUUGAUUUUUAGAGAAAUAUUGGUUUUAACUUUUCUUUAUCUGAGAGGGUUUUUGAGAUUUUGGCAUGGGUUAGCAUUUAUUAGAGUAUGAAAUAGACAAGAAUAGUAUAACUUGUUAUAGUUUGUUACAAUAAAUAAUAGUAUAGUUUUCUAUAUCUGUGUGAAAUAGAAAAUAAAGAAUAGUAUAAUUUGUUAUAUAUAGUUUGUAAUAAUAAAGAAUAAUAUGGUUUGUUAUAUCUAUUUGUGUGAAAUAGGUAAUAAAGAAUAGUAUAGUUUGUCAUAAGUUUGUUAUAAGAGGUUCCACCUGGCCCUCCCAGCGAGGGAGGUGGUGGAACCUCUGGAAUGGGAUGAAAACCUCUGGAAUGUGCUGGAAUUUCAGGUAUAAGGAAGAUUUCUUUCGUUUGUUUUGAGGGGUUUUGAUUUUUAGAGAAGUAUUGAUUUUAACUAUUCUUUAUAGAGAGGGUUUUUGAAAUUUUGGUAUAGAUUAGUGCUUAUGAAAGUAUGAAAUAGGUAAUAAAGAAUAGUAUAAUUUAGUAUAUAUAGUUGGUCAUAAGAUAAUAAAGAACAGUAUAAUUUGUUAUAUCUAUUCAUGUGAAAUAGAUAAAAAGAAUAGUAUAUUUUGUUAUAUGUUUGUUAUAAGAGGUUCUACCUCCUCCCUCUAUGGGAGGGCAAGAUGGGAGCUCUGGAAUGAGAUGGAAACGUCUGGAAUUUUGGGUACAGGGCAGAUUUCUACGUUUGUUCGUCUGUCCCCGCCUCAGACUUGUGCUGCCCUGACAGUCCCAAGUGCACCCUGCAAACUGACAUCAUGAACCUGGGCUGGCCGGUUUUGUUUCAUAGGGAAAAAGGCCAGAGUUUGUGCUCAGGGGCUCAUGGCCCUGAGUCGAUGUUUUCCUCCUGAAAUUCCAUACGCCGAAUAAGGUGUCCAAGACCUAAACUACCUACAUCUAAAACUUGUGAUGCCCUGACAAUCCCAGAAACACGCUGCAAACAAAUCAGGAACACGGGCUGGCCAGUUUUCUUUCAUAAGGAAAAAGAGCCGGCAAUUGUGCUCAGGGUCCUCUGGCGCUGAGCGGGCAGCGGACUACAAAAAACCCGAACAUCGACGGAUAAGUCCCAGACAGGAGCUGCCCCCGCCUCAUACUUGUGCUGCCCUGACAGUCCCAGAGGAGCCCUACAAACUGACAUCAGGAACUUUUGCUGGUGAGUUUUGUUUCAAGGUGAAAUGCUUUUGCGUCUUUCCUUUAGUGCCUGUGGCCCUGAGUGUGCGGCCACCUCCCAAAAAUCUAACCAGGUAAGGCUGUGGCCCUGCACUAGUGUUCCACAACCUUGAACUUGUUCUGCCCUGACAGUGCCAUGUUCACCCUACAAUCUGACAUCAGGAUCUGCGGGUGGAAGUUUUGUUUCCCAGGGGAAAGGGCCGCUGUUUUUACUCAGGUGCUCGUUGCCCUGAGUCAAUAUUUUCCUCCUUAAAUUCCAUACGCGAAAGGAUGUGUCCCAGACCCGAGAUGCCCACGUCUCAAACUUGUGCUGCCCUGACAGUCUCAAGGGAGCCCUGCAAACAAAUUAGCAUCUGGGCUGGCCAGUUUUGUUUCAAAGGGAAAAGGGUAGACGUUUAUGCUUGAGGGCCUGUGGCCCUGAGUGUGCGGCCACCUCCCGAAAAUCCAAACAGCGAAGGAUGUGUCCCAGACCCAGUGUUCCACCACCUGGAACUUUUGCUGCUCUGACAGUCCCAAGGGAGCCCUACAAACUGGCAUCAGGAUCUGAGGGUAGCAAGUUUUGUUGCUUUUCCCUGGGAAAAAGGGCCGGUGUUUGUGCUCAGGGGCUUGUGGCCCUGAGUCGAUGUUUUCCUCCUGAAAUUCCGUAAGCCAAAGGAUGUGUCCUAGACCCAAGAUGCCCACAUCUCAAACCUGUGCUGCCCUGACAGUCCCAACCGAACCCUACAAACUGACAUCAGGAACUUGGGGUGGUGAGUUUGUUUCAUAGGGAAAAAGGGCCGGAAUUUGUGCUCAGGAGCUGGUGGCCCUGAGUCAAUGUUUUCCUUAUGAAAUUCUGAACAGCGAUGGAUGUGUCCCGGACCCCAGCUGCCCCCACCUCAUUUUUGUACUGCCCAAGAGUCCCAAGCGCCUCCUGCGAACUGACAUCACAAUCCUGGGUUGGUUUCUGUUUGGGGAAGAUAACAGCUCCAGCAUCACCACAUUUCAUUUGUCACCCUCUCUUUUCUCCUGCAGCGUUUCCAGCUCAGGUCUUGGCCGUGGGAGAAGAUUUUUGGGUUUCAUUAUCAACAACUGCCUCCCCCGACCACAGGGCUCUGUUGGUUUACCUCAUUACCACGCUGUUCAGAUAUUUUUGAUUAAUUUCAAUUGUUUGAGCCUGAGAACUUCUGUUUUCCUCCUCUCAAGACCAAGCCAGUACUGAAUUUUUUUUUUUGUUGUUUUAAAGUCUUUGCUUGGAAUUCAGGUGGGUUUUUUCUAAGCUUAGUGGUUUUCUGAGUGUUUUAUGAAGGUGAGAUUAUUGUGGUGUUUCUGUUUUGCUUCCUGAGAAAUGAGUGAAGGAAUAAUUUGUCUAUAAUCCAAUUUACCACACUAGGCUGUCAUUUCUUUUUCCCUAACUGGUCCUGUUUUAAUUUUUUCCCCUUAAUUUCACUUCACUGCUGAUUAUGACACUGAAUUUGAAGAAGCUUCUGUUCCCAGAAACAGUCAGGCCAUUAAUUUUAAAUUAAUAACACAUUUCUCAGAGGCAGAACAAGUCUCACAUUUGGAAGUGGCUCAGUUCUUUCAUUCCCAUUAAACUGGUUUUACACCUUUAAAUAAAACCACUUAAGUGACUUUGAAA